CAUUCCGAACUCAGAAGUGAAACGAAAUAGCGCCGAUGGUAGUGUGGGGUUUCCCCAUGUGAGAGUAGGACAUCGCCAGGC
Molecule: ribosomal RNA, 81 nt
Filed under: Vibrio parahaemolyticus
Lineage: Bacteria; Pseudomonadati; Pseudomonadota; Gammaproteobacteria; Vibrionales; Vibrionaceae
Also listed under: 3 other names
Source: RNAcentral